Molecule: unclassified non-coding RNA, 148 nt
Organism: Callithrix jacchus (white-tufted-ear marmoset)
Lineage: Eukaryota; Metazoa; Chordata; Mammalia; Primates; Cebidae
Rfam family: Metazoan signal recognition particle RNA
About the family: The signal recognition particle (SRP) is a universally conserved ribonucleoprotein.
Source: Ensembl
GCCAGGCAUGGUGGUGCAUGCCUGUAGUCCCAGCUACUCUGGAGGCUGAGGCAGGAGAAUCACUUGAACCCAGGAGGCGGAGGUUGCAGCGAGCUAAGAUCAUACCACUGUACUCCAGCCUGGGCAACAGAGUGAGACCCUGUCUCAA